RNAcentral lists this unclassified non-coding RNA (712 nucleotides) under Zea mays. Its description in RNAcentral is "misc RNA Zm00001eb028140". The record is from RNAcentral. Lineage: Eukaryota; Viridiplantae; Streptophyta; Magnoliopsida; Poales; Poaceae.
CUUCGGAUGGUGAUGAAGGUGAAGAGGAAGGGGAGCAGAUUGAUGUAGGCCCCCUACCAAGUUCUGGGACAAAAACCAAGCAAACAAAAAAGCAAAUUGCUCAAGCUUCCAUGUCUUCAUUUGUUGUAGCAGCUCCUAUAAAACCAAAUACACAGAAGGCAAGCAAAUCAGUGAGUGCCAUGCUUUGCAAGACUCCAGAGGAAGUUGUAGCAGAGAGACAUAAAAAUAGAACUUCUCAGACCACUCUUGAGCAUUGCACAAAGAAAGGAACAGAAGCAAAGCAAAUUGUUGACGACCAUGUAGCUGAUUUUCUAUAUGAGAACAAGAUUCCAUUGAAUGUCGUCAAUUCAAGAAGCUGGCAGAUUAUGAUGGAGUCCAUUGGUCAGUAUGGUCCUGGAUAUCGUGGCCCAUCAUACUAUGAGGCAAGGGUACCUUGGCUUGAAAGGGCAGUGAAGAGAACAUCAACAUUGAGAGCUAAGCAUGAAGAGGCUUGGAAGGAAUAUGGUUGCUCAAUUAUGUCAGAUGGGCGGACUGACAUACGACAACGGCAUUUGAUAAACUUCCUUGCCAACAGUCCAGCGGGGACCUACUUCUUAGGUUCUGUCGAUGCAUCAAGUGAGAUAGCAAAUGCCAAUAUGUUGGCAGAUCCAUUGGAGAAGCAAAUAAUUAAGGUGGGGAAAGAACAUGUGGUCCAGGUGAUCACUGACAAUGG